Molecule: small nucleolar RNA, 132 nt
Organism: Grammomys surdaster
Lineage: Eukaryota; Metazoa; Chordata; Mammalia; Rodentia; Muridae
Product: small nucleolar RNA SNORA17
Exons: 1
Source: RefSeq, a predicted model, not a curated record
CCUGCUCCUAGAGGCUUUACAGGCAUGGCUGCUGUGUCUCAUGUACAUCAGUAGGUGGCAGAGAGGAGAGAGGUUAAGUCUAUGCUCAGAGUUCUGACUUGUGAACUUCUGAAUGAUUAGUAGCCUAACAGU